Molecule: transfer RNA, 64 nt
Filed under: Ictidomys tridecemlineatus (thirteen-lined ground squirrel)
Lineage: Eukaryota; Metazoa; Chordata; Mammalia; Rodentia; Sciuridae
Description: Spermophilus tridecemlineatus (thirteen-lined ground squirrel) tRNA
Rfam family: tRNA
About the family: Transfer RNA (tRNA) molecules are approximately 80 nucleotides in length.
Source: Rfam by way of RNAcentral
GUGUGGCUUAGUUGGUAGAGUGCUUGCCUGGCACGUGUGAGGCCCUGGGUUCAGUCCCCAGCAC